AUAAACAAAAUCCAAAUUUAUCAGCACCGAAGCUCAUUUAAUUUGUUAUUUUAUCUUUAUCAAGAAAAAUGGCAAUGAACUUGCUUACGCUUACAAUUUCACAAUCUUAAGGAGAAUAUGAACUCCUAUGAUGAACAAGGGUACUGACUAAUGUAAUAAACGCAAAUUAAUGAAAGCACUGAAAAUAAGUUAUCCAACAUUAAAUCUGUGGACACACUUGCGUGUCUGUGUCUGGGGUCCCCAAAAGCAAUUCCUCUACAAUCCCACCAAACCUUCAUGGGGAUCCAAACACAGGAAGGCAAAAUGUGCAAGCAUCCAGAAAAGUCUGAGAACCGAUUUCAGGAUUCUAAACCAACAUUACGAAAUUCAAAGCAAUUUCACUGACUUCAACUAAAGAACAAUACGCAAUGCCUCAGUGUAGUAGCAUUAGCAUAUCACACUUAUUUCAGACACAUUAAAAACAAAUACAUAUACCCUUAAAUUAGGAAAUGUGAAUUCACAAAAAAAGUUAUUGAAAUUGAGCAAUGCUGAAAUCAACACAUCCCAGAUCCCAGAUGACAGAUUCACUAUAAAAGAAGGGAAGCGAUCGCAGUGGGA
Molecule: unclassified non-coding RNA, 597 nt
Filed under: Hevea brasiliensis (rubber tree)
Lineage: Eukaryota; Viridiplantae; Streptophyta; Magnoliopsida; Malpighiales; Euphorbiaceae
Source: RNAcentral